ACGAGUUUCAGAGAAAACGAAGGCCGCUGUACAAUCACGCAAACAGAGAGAACAAAAACUACCUUUAUUUACGGUUGUAUGUGAAAUUCACUUUAUUGCUCUUGCACUUUUUCUCACCUUCUUUCGUCUCUUUUUCUUUGAUCUUUUCACCUUCUGAGAAAUUCUGGAUUUCUGUUGAAAGCCUGAGAAUGGAUGCCCGAGAGGAUGAGGAUACAUCUUUGAGGUAUAACACAACCGAGGUGUGAAAGUCAAGGGCACAGAAACUUAUAAAUGUAACACACCUAAAAUAGAACAGCUUUUAAAAGCCAGCCAUGCACACAUGAAAUGGAAACCGACAUGAGACUAUACAGCAUUCUGCUGCUCCUUGAUAAAUUAUUUCUUGACGUCUGGCACUGGGAAUAAGAGAUAUCCUUGAAAAUAAAACAACUGGUGUCAUUUUUCUUUUCUUCAAAUGAAGAGCUUUAUUCUGGUGUCUGCUACACAGCGUGUUGCCUUUUUACGAUUUACAACUUCAAGUGCAGCCCAUUCCACUUCCUACAUUUGAAACAAAUCCAGAAGAUUACAGCAGACAAACAUCCCAAGUAGAAGGUCUGUUGAGAAGGAACGGUUGAUAUACUGUACCAGUACCACAUUACCGUGCUCAUUGUUUCGCUUUCUUCUCUUGUUCAUGAUGGAGGAUUAAGCAGUGUCUUUACAUGGGUGCCAGGCUCUUAGCAAACAAACCAUUCACAAAUGGAAAAUGCAAUCGGGCAAAUACUGUUAGCAGACAAAAGGAACAGGGUGCACGUCUGCAGACACAGAAAAGCCAUUUCAGUUUGCUUGUCAGAGCACAUAAGGUUUCACAAAAGCAUAGUUAAAGUCCAAAAGCAGCAGAUGUGUUUUCUACCACAAAGUCUCGGAUUCGGUGCACAGAACAAAGAGGAGCGAAGAAUGGUGUUUGGAUUUGGAGCAAAAAGCUAUUCUCUGCAGAAUUCCUCCCAAACCCACUGAGAGAUGUGACUUAACCUCCAUUCUCAAAAUUAGAGUUGCCAAGCGUAACUAAAUGAAUAGAGUUUUAUGCCAGUUUUUAGCACUAUUUUUUUUUUCAGCAAAAUGUAUCAACAUUGACAAUUGUAUUUGUAUGUAUGCAUCCAAAUUUCAUUAAUAUUUUAACUAAUUAAUAAACAUACAAUA
Carassius carassius (crucian carp) is the source of this 1173-nucleotide long non-coding RNA. RefSeq lists it as uncharacterized. The record is from RefSeq and is a predicted model, not a curated record. Lineage: Eukaryota; Metazoa; Chordata; Actinopteri; Cypriniformes; Cyprinidae. The transcript has 3 exons.